Molecule: long non-coding RNA, 27998 nt
Filed under: Zea mays
Lineage: Eukaryota; Viridiplantae; Streptophyta; Magnoliopsida; Poales; Poaceae
Description: long non-coding RNA (ZMAY_LNC003716)
Source: RNAcentral
UUUUGGUGGAGGGAAGAAGGGAGGAAGGAAAGGGGGAGAAUCCAAGGUGAUUUUUGUGUUCAUCCCUUGUUCAUUUGCGCUGCAAUUCAAUUGAUUAGAGGUUGCGUUUGCGAUUGGGUAGAGGGGGCUGUCCAGAAUUUUAGGUGGUGGAUGAACAGCAGUAGUUCUAGCAGUUUCUGGUUGUUUUUCGUGAGAAAUUAAUGGAAAUCAGUUUGGGGAUCAUGUAGAACUUUGUCUUACCUUUCCAACAAGUAUUUAUGCGCUCAAUUUGGAGUUAUAAAUUGAAAGUUAUCACCGUUUGAAUCCGGGUAUGUGGCUGUCCAAAAAACAGAUUUUCAGGGGGGAUGAACAGCAGCAGUAUUAGCAGUUUCUGGGGAUUUUUCGGGAGUAAUUAGUGUUAAUCAGUAUAAGAAUCAUGAUGGGCUCUUUCUUAUCUUUCCAACAAGUACUUAUGCGCUUGAUUCGGAAUUAUAUUUUAAAAGUUAUCGCUGUUUGAAUCCGAGUAUGUCGCUGCCCAAAACAGGAAAAACAGAUUGCAGGGUUUAUUUUGGGGACCGUUUAGGGGUAAUUAGAUGUUAGAAUUUAAUCAUAAAUUGUAUACAAAACUUGUGGGGAAUUUUAUGUAGUUGUCUCUGGAGUUUUUGUUAGACACCGCUGCUGUCUUAAUUUUAGAGUUAUGGAAUUGUUAAGCAGCGCCGCUGCAGUUUGGUUGGUGUGGGGAGAAUUGUUACCCGCGGCGGGGUUUGAGAUUGCGCGUAGGUGCGGCGUUGUUUUGAGGCUUUUUAUGUGAAUUUGGUGCACUAAGUUGGGUGUCAAAAACAGGUGGUGGACUUCCGGAUCGUUCUUAGGGAUUUGCCCAAACUUCCGGUGAAGCCAAGUAAAACUGUGAUGGUUAUUCCGUCUGUCAGAUGAGGAGUCUUAUACUUGAUUAUGUUGUGCUAUUGUGUUCAUAUUCAUAUUUUCUUUUGAGUACCAUCAUUUGAAAAUGUUCAUGUUUCAUGGAUUUCAUAUGUUGAGUUUGAGGUUGAUUAUGUUACUCAAGUGGUUAUUAUGUGGAAUGGGUGGAAGUAAAUGUCUAGCACAUUUUUAUUUGGGAAGAACUCAUGAUGUUGUCAUGCAUAAUGCACUCAUCAUCCAUUGCAUUGAAGUUUCGUCGCGAUCUUAUGGUCCGAUCGUACCGGUACAUUGAGCAUCAUAUGUUGCCCGAGAAGGGGUAUGGUGCAGCUUCAUAUCCUUAGAGAUAUGGAGGCAGAAGUCAUUAUUGCAUUUGUAGCCAUGUGCAUUCCUGGGAGAGGUGUGGAAUCUAUUAUGUGGAUGUGGAUAAUUUUGGACUUAUGCAUGGUGAUUGUAACGCCCCGAAUUUUGCAGUUGAAUUUUUUUCUUUUCUUUACUCGCCAAAAUUCGGGCGUUACCUUUUCCUUUUCUUUUUCCCUCCGCUAAACCUUGACCUUUUCCAAAGUUCUAAGCGGGAUUCGGUUUGGAAUUCCCGUGUAAGAAAAAACCCUAAAUACUUUAUGUUGUUUGAUGCACCAUGCCGAACCUUGCAUUUCUUUUGAUUGCUUUGAAAGCGCAAUUGCAUUCAUGUAGAAAGAUCGGAUUUCGAAAAUGUGGAGAAGAUCUUUUCUUUCUUUUUUUCUCCCUCUCUUUUUCUCUCCUCUUUUUCUCUCUCUCCCGCGCCGUGGGCCGACCCCGGCCGGCCCAGGCCCCUGCGCGCCCCCCCCUUGGGCCCAAUAGGCCCAGCCGCCCCCCCUCUUUCCCUUAUUCCCUAACCCUCUCCCUCUCCCCCCUCAUUUUCUCCCUCCCCACCUAAGCCGCCGCCCCCUACCCCCUACCCGCCCCCUGCCCUAGGUCGCCGCGCCGCCCCCUGCCGCCGGCCGCCCCUCGCCGUCGAUCCCCGACACCGGUGAGCCCCCCUCCUCCCUCUCUCCCUCCUCCCUCUCUCCCCUCCCCUCCCCCCUCCCUGCCCGGCCAAGGCCCGACCGCCCCCUGUCCGCGCCGGCCGUCCCCCGCCCCGCCGUGGCCUGUGGCCGCCCGCUCGGCCGCCCAGCCCGACCCCCCCCGCGCCCGCCUGGCCGCCGGUUCAACCGGCCGGCUCAGCGGCUCAGCCGCCCGGCCAGCCCCGCCCGCGCCCGCGCCCCGCCUAGGGCCGGUUCAACCGCCCUAGGGCCGGUUCAACCGCCCCCCCCUUCUGUUUUUUUAUUUUUUUUUAUUUUAUUUUAUUUACUUUCUGUGAUCAUGAUUACUGUAUUUUAAGUAGGCUAAUCACUGUUCAUGCUAUGGGAAAAUAGGAAGUUUAAUUUAAAAUUCCGUUGUGUUAUUGAUUCACGUAGUUAAUUGUUUACCCUGUGCAAUGUUGAUCAACUAAAAGUGAUUAGGUUUCCAUCAGUAUAUAUAAAUAUAUAUAACAGAAUUAUGUUGUUAAAAACCAAUUGUGUCAUUAGUGCAUAAGAUUUAACCCCCCUGCGAGACCUUUCCCGUUUCUUUCUAACCAUAACAAAUGCGUUAUCGAAUGUCAUAUUUGAUGCAUAUUCGCUUUAUUUGUUAUCUUGUAUGGUGUACUGUUCUUUUGUAUUGAAUAUGUGGAUGUAUGUAUGUAUGUUUGCGCUCGCAUAGAGAACGAUCCGGUCGAAGAGCCCAAGGAAUUCGCAGGAGAAGCCCCUGAGCAGCAGUCGUUUGGUGGAGGCAAGUGUCCUUUGACCUAUCUCUGUCCUAUUCAUUCUUUAAUUCACCUCCCGCAUUACACAUUUAUACCUAAGGAUUGACUAGCUUUUGUUAUCCAUGUCCUUGUUUACCUAUUUGGGUUGGAUUAUUACUGUUUAGCUUUAUGCUAUUGCUCAACUCUAAUCAAUGAACAUGAUGAGAUUAUCUAUGAUACGCUGUUUUCCCUUCUCUUAUUAUGAUGUUGUACUUGUGGUUUUCAAGGGGACUCGAGCGGUUUCUCGAGUGCCUCUCCGUAAGGACCUGUUCUAUGGAUGACCGCCCGGGAAAACAGUGCAACCAUGAGGGUGGAAUGGGGUGCCCUUAGCUGAAUAAUUAGAGGAUCCGGGGUGUAGUUCACUUAGCCGUCGUGCCGUCAAUGGGGCUCGGUGUAUGCGGCUCGCUCUGCCAAGUUUGGGUUCGCCCCUUGGGGAGGAGUGCGGUGCAUUUAGGAAACCUAACGGGUGGCUACAGCCCCGGGGAAUCUUUGUAAAGGCUACGUAGUGAAACCCUGCCUAUUCACCUUGGUAGUGUUUAAGGGUUUGAUCGGCCCGAGGCAAGAGGGAAUCACGGCUUGUGGGUAAAGUGCACAACCUCUGCAGAGUGUUAUGAAACUGAUAUAUCAGCCGUGCUCGCGGUUAUGAGCGGCCAAGGGAGCUCCAGUGAUUAGUGGUACUUGAUCAGAGACAUUGUGGUACAGGUGGUUAUGAGAUUGAUGGUUUUGGUUAUGACUAUGGUGCUGGUAAGUGGUAUUCUUUCCGUUUGGAAAGGGUACAUCGGGUUAAUAACUUGGGUUAAUGCUAAAACUUGGCUUUCUACUAGUAAAUAAUAACCUGACCAACUAAAAGCAACUGCUUGACUUAUCCCCACAUAAAGCUAGUCCACUACAGCCAAACAGGAUACUUGCUGAGUAUGUUGAUGUGUACUCACCCUUGCUCUACACACCAAACCCCCCCCAGGUUGUCAGCAUUGCAACCACUGCUCAGGCGAAGAUGAAGCUGUGGAAGGAGACUUCCAGGAGUUCCAAGAUUACGACGAGUUCUAGGUGUGGGUUAGCGGCAACCCCCAGUCGGCUGCCUGUGAAGGCCGCGUUAUCUACGUUUCUUUUCCGCACUUUGAUUUAUUGUAAGAACUAUAUGGACGUCUCAGACGUAUGAUGUAAUCGACUAUUCCCCUUAUUAAUACUAUUUUGAGCACUGUGUGAUGAUGUCCAUAUUAUGUAACUGCUGUGUACGUGAAUAACUGAUCCUGGCACGUACAUGGUUCGCAUUCGGUUUGCCUUCUAAAACCGGGUGUGACAUAAGUGGUAUCAAAGCCGUGCUGACUGUAGGACCGCUAACCUAGAGUAGAAUGGUCGUUCUAAGGAUUAUAGACCUCUGUCCCUACCUUGACUUUGAUAUCUCUUCAAAAGUUGGUCCUACCGACCAAACCUAUGUUCUACUAUAUAUAAUACCUUGCUAAAAAAAAAUUGUGUUUCAUUCUAAUCCUUCAUUUACUUAUUACUUGCUGGUCAUAUUAAUUCUGUUCUCACCCUUUUGCUUGCGAUGUCUUUUGUAGAUGGCUCGACUUAGACACACUGCACGAAAGUCAGUCAUCCCCUUCUUACCCUCCCGCCUUGCUGAGCGUCCGCUUCGCCGUCCCGUGGCCGGACAGUCCAGCCACUUGGAGAGACUACACCACCGCCUGCGUGAGGAGCAGGAGCGUCGACGACAGGAGCAGCAGAGCUCUUCCCUCUCGCUCCACCAGGAGAUAGAGUCUGUGAGGAGCUGCUCCCCUGUGCUUCCUCUGGAGCCGCCCCCUGCACCACCACUGGGCGCCCCAGCCUCUGGAGUAGCUGCUGGAGGAGACCCAGACGACGGAGGAGGCGACGACAGCUCGAGCCACGACACCGACUUCUCUGCUAACCCUGAGCCGGAAGGAUGGGUUGCUCGACCCAUCACUCGCGACGCUGCUCGCGGGUGUCACUUCCACGAUGCGCUCGACACCCUGCUACGUCGGGCAUUUGACCGGCAUACUUGGUCCGUCGAGUAUCGCUGUGUGGUCUACCAGCAUAGUCACGGGGUCUACCCGGACCGCUGGGAGGCUACUUGCUUGGUGCGCUGCCCGGAGGACAGUCUCCAGGGUGCAGAGGCCUGUUCAGAGCACUAUUCUAUCUCUGAGCGGGACUCAGCUGAGGCAGCCAUGCAAGAUGCUGCACGGCGUGCGCUUUCGCACUACUGCUCGGUUUUCGGUGGGGCAGCUGACGGUCUUGACCUGAAGUAUUACCCCCGCCGUCCAUCUGGCAGCACAGGAGGCGUGAUUGUCUCACCUGUCGGUGAGGGCAAUCCUAGGUUGAGCAGCACAGUCAACCUAGCCGCCGUGCUAAACACGGAGCUGGACCAUGCAUUAGACGAGCUGAGUAGGGCUCGUGCUGAGAUCGCCCUGCUGCGGGCUGAGCGCGCGGAGCGUCGUCACCUGGAUGGUGGUUCCCCCGCUCCCGUUGGGACUCAGCACCCGUACCGCUCACCUCAGCGUGGACACCAGUCUUAUGGCAAUCCCGACUGCAAGACCAAGAUAACUCUAGAACCAUAGAUCGUUAGAGUUGAAUCUUGUAAUUAAUACGAAAUAUAUACAUAGAAGCUUCAGUCUUAGCGUUAGUCUCGGUCUUAGUUAGUCUUAGUUAGACAGGGUAGUUUGCUAUAUCCUGUGCAUUGAUGUUUGUCAUGAUGAACUAUGUUUGGUUUGGAUCUUUGUAAUGAUUGUCACCAGGAUGUGGGUAUCCCCUGCAUUUUGGUUUACAUACUAUGUUAAUAAAGUUAGUUAUAUAGUUGGGAAACCCAUUAUUCUCCUUUCCUCUUUAUCUGAGAAGCUGUGUGGUCUGUGUUGGAGAUCAGUGAAGAUGCUCAUCUGUUCAGUGCUGUUGGAGAAUUCUAUACUCUUUUCUUAUGCUGCAAGCUUUGCCAGAUCAGUUCUGAUGUGUGGUUGCGUUCUGCAGAUGUCAGAGAACAGGCGUAGAGGAGGAAGGCGUGCUCAGCAGGAGCGAGCCGCUCCGCAGGAUGAGGUGCCCCAGCAGCAGCACCUGCCGCCCCCGCCCCCGAUGUCGAUCGAGCAGAUGUUUCUGAUGCAGACUCAGGCAGUUCAAGCCAUCGGUCAGACUCUGGCCGCCAUUCAGCAGCAGCAGCAGCAGCAACAGCAGCAAGCACCACCCCAGCCUCAGAUGCCUCAGAUGCCUAGAGACAAGCGUGCUGAAUUCAUGAGAGGUCAUCCACCAACGUUCGCUCACUCUUCUGACCCCAUGGAUGCUGAAGAUUGGCUGCGCACUGUGGAGCGGGAGUUGCAUACCGCUCAGUGCGAUGACCGGGAGAAAGUCUUGUAUGGUCCCCGUCUGUUGAGAGGAGCAGCCCAAUCAUGGUGGGAGUCUUACCUCGCCACCCAUGCCAACCCCGACACCAUCACCUGGGAAGAAUUCAGAGGUAGCUUUCGUCAGUACCAUGUCCCUGCAGGUCUGAUGACAGUGAAGAAGGAGGAGUUCCUGGCCCUUAAGCAAGGGUCAUCGUCUGUCAGUGAGUAUCGAGACAGGUUUCUGCAAUUGUCUCGCUAUGCUCCUGAAGAUGUCAACACCGACGCCAAGCGACAGUACCGUUUUCUGAGAGGCUUGGUUGACCCUCUGCAGUAUCAGCUGAUGAAUCACACCUUCCCGACAUGCCAGCACCUGAUUGACAGAGCAAUCAUGACAGAAAGGAAGCGUAAGGAGAUGGAAGAUCGUAAGCGCAAGAUCAGUGGACCCCAGCCUGGAAGCAGCAGCCGUCCCCGUUUCUCAGGCAAUCAACCUCAGCAGUUCAGGCAGAACCAGCGUCCACCUCAGCAGCAUCAGCAGCGUCAGCAGUAUCAGCAGUUCCAAAGGCAGUAUCCUCAGCAUCAGUACCAGAACCGUCAGAGCAAUCAGUCAGGAGGUCAGCUUCAAAAGCAGAAUCAGCAAGCACCUCGUCUUCCUGCCCCAGCAAAUCAGCAGAACAGUCAGGCAGCACCAGCUCAAGUUGGAAACAGAGCGUGUUUCCACUGUGGAGAGCAAGGCCACUGGGUGAUGCAAUGUCCGAAGAAGGCAGCCCAGCAGCAGUCAGGCCCCAAUGCCCCAGCAAAGCAGAAUGUGUCUCAGCCUGGAGCAGGCAACCGCUCUCAGCAGCGCUAUAAUCAUGGAAGACUGAAUCACUUGGAAGCUGAAGCAGUUCAGGAGACCCCCGACAUGAUAGUAGGUAUGUUCCCAGUCGACUCCCAUAUUGCAGAAGUGUUAUUUGAUACUGGAGCAACGCAUUCUUUCAUUACUGCAUCAUGGGUAGAAGCACAUAAUCUUCCAACUACUACCAUGUUAACCCCCAUUCAAAUUGACUCAGCCGGUGGUAGAAUUCGAGCCGAUAGCAUUUGUUUGAAUAUAAGUGUGGAAAUAAGGGGGAUAGCGUUUCCCGCCAACCUUAUAGUAAUGGGUACUCAGGGAAUAGAUGUCAUCCUAGGGAUGAAUUGGCUAGAUAAGUAUCAGGCAGUUAUCAGUUGUGAUAAAAGGACAAUCAAGUUGGUGUCUCCACUAGGAGAGGAAGUGGUGACCGAGUUAGUCCCGCCUGAGCCAAAGAAAGGAAGUUGUUAUCAGAUGGCUGUUGAUAGCAGUGAAGCAGACCCAAUCGAGAGUAUCAAGGUUGUUUCCGAAUUCCCAGAUGUGUUUCCAAAGGAUUUACCGGGUAUGCCACCAGAGCGGAAAGUUGAAUUUGCUAUAGAGCUUCUUCCUGGAACCGCCCCCAUCUCUAAGAGAGCUUACAGAAUAUCUGGACCAGAGUUGGUUGAACUUAAAAAGCAAAUUGAUGAGCUGUCAGAGAAAGGUUACAUCCGGCCAAGCACCUCGCCUUGGGCCGCCCCUGUCUUGUUCGUAGAAAAGAAAGAUGGCACCAAGAGGAUGUGUAUUGAUUAUCGAGCUUUGAAUGAGGUCACGAUAAAGAACAAGUAUCCUUUGCCCAGAAUAGAAGAUCUGUUCGACCAGUUGAGAGGAGCCAGUGUGUUCUCCAAGAUUGAUCUGAGAUCAGGUUAUCAUCAGCUCAGGAUCCGACCUUCGGACAUUCCGAAGACGGCAUUCAUUACCAAGUAUGGUUUGUAUGAGUUCACAGUGAUGUCUUUUGGUUUGACCAAUGCGCCAGCAUUCUUUAUGAACUUGAUGAACAGUGUAUUCAUGGAUUACCUUGAUAAGUUUGUGGUGGUAUUCAUUGAUGACAUUCUGGUUUAUUCUCAAAGUGAAGAAGAGCAUGCAGAUCAUUUGAGGAUGGUAUUGCAGAGAUUGCGAGAGCACCAGUUGUAUGCAAAGUUGAGCAAGUGUGAGUUCUGGAUCAGUGAAGUCCUGUUCUUGGGUCACAUAAUCAACAAAGAAGGAUUGGCUGUGGAUCCGAAGAAAGUGGCAGACAUUCUAAACUGGAAAGCGCCAACGGAUGCUCGAGGAAUCAAGAGCUUCAUUGGAAUGGCCGGAUAUUAUCGGCGAUUCAUUGAAGGGUUUUCGAAGAUUGCGAAGCCAAUGACAGCGUUGCUAGGCAACAAGGUUGAGUUCAAGUGGACCCAGAAAUGCCAAGAGGCCUUUGAAGCGCUGAAAGAGAAGUUGACUACAGCGCCUGUCCUAGUCUUGCCUGAUGUGCACAAGCCCUUCUCGGUGUAUUGCGAUGCUUGUUACACAGGUUUGGGAUGUGUGUUGAUGCAAGAGGGAAGAGUUGUGGCUUACUCGUCCCGACAGCUGAAGGUUCAUGAGAAGAACUACCCAAUCCAUGAUCUAGAGUUGGCAGCAGUGGUUCACGCACUGAAGUCAUGGAGGCACUAUCUGUAUGGACAGAAAUGCGAUGUUUACACAGAUCACAAGAGUCUGAAGUACAUAUUCACUCAGUCAGAGUUGAACAUGAGGCAGCGAAGAUGGUUAGAAUUGAUCAAAGACUAUGAGUUGGAGAUUCAUUACCAUCCAGGCAAAGCAAACGUAGUGGCAGAUGCUCUGAGCAGAAAGAGUCAAGUCAAUCUGAUGGUUGCUCGCCCGAUGCCUUAUGAGUUGGCCAAAGAGUUUGACAGGUUGAGUCUCGGAUUUCUGAACAAUUCGCGAGGAGUUACAGUUGAGUUGGAACCUACCUUGGAGCGCGAAAUCAAAGAAGCGCAGAAAAAUGAUGAGAAGAUCAGUGAGAUUCGGCGAUUGAUUCUAGAUGGUAAAGGCAAAGAUUUUCGAGAAGAUGCGGAAGGCGUGAUAUGGUUCAAAGACCGCUUAUGUGUUCCCAAUGUCCAGUCUAUUCGGGAGUUGAUUCUUAAGGAAGCUCAUGAGACAGCUUAUUCGAUUCACCCUGGCAGUGAGAAGAUGUAUCAGGAUCUGAAGAAGAAAUUCUGGUGGUACGGAAUGAAAAGAGAAAUCGCAGAGCAUGUGGCUAUGUGCGAUAGUUGUCGAAGAAUUAAGGCAGAACACCAGAGACCAGCUGGAUUGUUGCAACCGUUGCAGAUCCCUCAGUGGAAAUGGGAUGAAAUUGGUAUGGAUUUCAUAGUCGGAUUGCCUCGCACUCGAGCCGGCUACGAUUCCAUUUGGGUAGUAGUGGACCGCUUGACCAAGUCAGCCCACUUCAUACCUGUCAAGACCAACUACAACAGUGCAGUAUUGGCAGAAUUGUAUAUGUCUCGGAUCGUUUGUCUUCAUGGUGUGCCAAAGAAGAUAGUGUCAGACAGAGGAACGCAGUUCACCUCUCAUUUCUGGCAGCAGUUGCAUGAAGCCUUGGGCACGCAUCUGAAUUUCAGUUCAGCUUAUCACCCGCAGACAGAUGGUCAGACUGAAAGAACCAAUCAAAUCCUUGAAGAUAUGUUGAGAGCCUGUGCGUUGCAAGAUCAGUCCGGAUGGGACAAGCGAUUGCCUUAUGCGGAGUUUUCCUAUAACAACAGUUAUCAGGCCAGUUUGAAGAUGUCACCGUUUCAAGCGCUGUAUGGAAGGAGUUGCAGAACUCCGUUGCAAUGGGAUCAGCCUGGAGAGAAGCAGGUGUUUGGGCCAGAUAUUUUGCUUGAAGCCGAAGAGAACAUCAAGAUGGUCCGAGAGAAUCUGAAGAUAGCGCAAUCAAGGCAGCGAAGCUAUGCAGACACAAGAAGAAGAGAGCUGAGCUUUGAAGUCGGAGACUUUGUCUAUCUGAAAGUGUCACCGAUCAGAGGAGUCAGAAGAUUCGGAGUGAAAGGCAAGCUAGCACCCCGCUACAUUGGUCCGUAUCAAAUUCUCUCAAAGCGUGGAGAAGUGGCUUAUCAGCUCAGCCUGCCAGAGAAUUUGUCUGCUGUGCAUGAUGUCUUUCAUGUGUCUCAAUUGAAGAAGUGUUUGCGUGUGCCAGAAGAGCAGUUGCCAGUGGAAGGUCUUGAAGUCCAGGAGGACUUGACCUAUAUUGAGAAGCCAGCUCAGAUCCUUGAGGUUGCAGAUAGAGUCACCCGAAGGAAGACCGUCAGAAUGUGCAAAGUCAGAUGGAGUCACCACUCUGAGGAAGAAGCAACCUGGGAGCGUGAAGAUGAUCUGAUGGCCAAGUACCCGGAGCUCUUUGCUAGCCAGCCCUGAAUCUCGAGGGCGAGAUUCUUUUAAGGGGGAUAGGUUUGUAACGCCCCGAAUUUUGCAGUUGAAUUUUUUUCUUUUCUUUACUCGCCAAAAUUCGGGCGUUACCUUUUCCUUUUCUUUUUCCCUCCGCUAAACCUUGACCUUUUCCAAAGUUCUAAGCGGGAUUCGGUUUGGAAUUCCCGUGUAAGAAAAAACCCUAAAUACUUUAUGUUGUUUGAUGCACCAUGCCGAACCUUGCAUUUCUUUUGAUUGCUUUGAAAGCGCAAUUGCAUUCAUGUAGAAAGAUCGGAUUUCGAAAAUGUGGAGAAGAUCUUUUCUUUCUUUUUUUCUCCCUCUCUUUUUCUCUCCUCUUUUUCUCUCUCUCCCGCGCCGUGGGCCGACCCCGGCCGGCCCAGGCCCCUGCGCGCCCCCCCCUUGGGCCCAAUAGGCCCAGCCGCCCCCCUCUUUCCCUUAUUCCCUAACCCUCUCCCUCUCCCCCCUCAUUUUCUCCCUCCCCACCUAAGCCGCCGCCCCCUACCCCCUACCCGCCCCCUGCCCUAGGUCGCCGCGCCGCCCCCUGCCGCCGGCCGCCCCUCGCCGUCGAUCCCCGACACCGGUGAGCCCCCCCCCCUCCUCCCUCUCUCCCUCCUCCCUCUCUCCCCUCCCCUCCCCCCUCCCUGCCCGGCCAAGGCCCGACCGCCCCCUGUCCGCGCCGGCCGUCCCCCGCCCCGCCGUGGCCUGUGGCCGCCCGCUCGGCCGCCCAGCCCGACCCCCCCCGCGCCCGCCUGGCCGCCGGUUCAACCGGCCGGCUCAGCGGCUCAGCCGCCCGGCCAGCCCCGCCCGCGCCCGCGCCCCGCCUAGGGCCGGUUCAACCGCCCUAGGGCCGGUUCAACCGCCCCCCCCUUCUGUUUUUUUUAUUUUUUUUUAUUUUAUUUUAUUUACUUUCUGUGAUCAUGAUUACUGUAUUUUAAGUAGGCUAAUCACUGUUCAUGCUAUGGGAAAAUAGGAAGUUUAAUUUAAAAUUCCGUUGUGUUAUUGAUUCACGUAGUUAAUUGUUUACCCUGUGCAAUGUUGAUCAACUAAAAGUGAUUAGGUUUCCAUCAGUAUAUAUAAAUAUAUAUAACAGAAUUAUGUUGUUAAAAACCAAUUGUGUCAUUAGUGCAUAAGAUUUAACCCCCCUGCGAGACCUUUCCCGUUUCUUUCUAACCAUAACAAAUGCGUUAUCGAAUGUCAUAUUUGAUGCAUAUUCGCUUUAUUUGUUAUCUUGUAUGGUGUACUGUUCUUUUGUAUUGAAUAUGUGGAUGUAUGUAUGUAUGUUUGCGCUCGCAUAGAGAACGAUCCGGUCGAAGAGCCCAAGGAAUUCGCAGGAGAAGCCCCUGAGCAGCAGUCGUUUGGUGGAGGCAAGUGUCCUUUGACCUAUCUCUGUCCUAUUCAUUCUUUAAUUCACCUCCCGCAUUACACAUUUAUACCUAAGGAUUGACUAGCUUUUGUUAUCCAUGUCCUUGUUUACCUAUUUGGGUUGGAUUAUUACUGUUUAGCUUUAUGCUAUUGCUCAACUCUAAUCAAUGAACAUGAUGAGAUUAUCUAUGAUACGCUGUUUUCCCUUCUCUUAUUAUGAUGUUGUACUUGUGGUUUUCAAGGGGACUCGAGCGGUUUCUCGAGUGCCUCUCCGUAAGGACCUGUUCUAUGGAUGACCGCCCGGGAAAACAGUGCAACCAUGAGGGUGGAAUGGGGUGCCCUUAGCUGAAUAAUUAGAGGAUCCGGGGUGUAGUUCACUUAGCCGUCGUGCCGUCAAUGGGGCUCGGUGUAUGCGGCUCGCUCUGCCAAGUUUGGGUUCGCCCCUUGGGGAGGAGUGCGGUGCAUUUAGGAAACCUAACGGGUGGCUACAGCCCCGGGGAAUCUUUGUAAAGGCUACGUAGUGAAACCCUGCCUAUUCACCUUGGUAGUGUUUAAGGGUUUGAUCGGCCCGAGGCAAGAGGGAAUCACGGCUUGUGGGUAAAGUGCACAACCUCUGCAGAGUGUUAUGAAACUGAUAUAUCAGCCGUGCUCGCGGUUAUGAGCGGCCAAGGGAGCUCCAGUGAUUAGUGGUACUUGAUCAGAGACAUUGUGGUAGAGGUGGUUAUGAGAUUGAUGGUUUUGGUUAUGACUAUGGUGCUGGUAAGUGGUAUUCUUUCCGUUUGGAAAGGGUACAUCGGGUUAAUAACUUGGGUUAAUGCUAAAACUUGGCUUUCUACUAGUAAAUAAUAACCUGACCAACUAAAAGCAACUGCUUGACUUAUCCCCACAUAAAGCUAGUCCACUACAGCCAAACAGGAUACUUGCUGAGUAUGUUGAUGUGUACUCACCCUUGCUCUACACACCAAACCCCCCCCAGGUUGUCAGCAUUGCAACCACUGCUCAGGCGAAGAUGAAGCUGUGGAAGGAGACUUCCAGGAGUUCCAAGAUUACGACGAGUUCUAGGUGUGGGUUAGCGGCAACCCCCAGUCGGCUGCCUGUGAAGGCCGCGUUAUCUACGUUUCUUUUCCGCACUUUGAUUUAUUGUAAGAACUAUAUGGACGUCUCAGACGUAUGAUGUAAUCGACUAUUCCCCUUAUUAAUACUAUUUUGAGCACUGUGUGAUGAUGUCCAUAUUAUGUAACUGCUGUGUACGUGAAUAACUGAUCCUGGCACGUACAUGGUUCGCAUUCGGUUUGCCUUCUAAAACCGGGUGUGACAGUGAUUCUACUUGGCGUUUAGUUUUUAGUUACUUGUUGCUUGCUGCAAUUUACUGUUCAAAAGAAAAGAAAGAAGUUCUGAACCACGUGGUUGUGUAAGCAUAGUUGAUUUACAAUGUCCUAUUUAUUGUUGUUAUGUUUACUUGCUGAGAUGUGUUAUCUCACAUCUUGCAUUGUUUGAUGCAGGCACCUAAUUUCUGCUUUGGGAAUAGAGGGAUGUAGCAGCACGACCACUACACCUUUAAUAAAGGAACCACCAUUUAAUAAUGUUGUUAAUCAGAGUUGGUCAAGUCUAGUGAAUUGCUUUGUUCUUGGUUGAGCGUUUAUUUUGGGGUGGGCUGAGUUUCUUAUCCCAUUUGUUUCACUUCAGUUGGGGCAUAAAUGAGCUUUACCACUUUGCGUCUAGUUUCUGCUAUGUGAAUUAUAUGUCUUUAUAUCCUGUAUGAACUUCAUGUUUUCCCCUCCUUGUUAUGUUAGUUUCGAAGGAGGUGCUGCCGGAUUUUGCUAUAUUUUUCUUUCUUUAUUACGCCUCUUGUGUCGAGUAAGUUAGGUGGGUGGGUUUUUUUGGUGAUAUCCAUUGUGUGUGACCAGUGGGGUAUUACAGUUGGUAUCAGAGGAUAGGCUGUAGGUCCUAGCAAGUGGAGUAAUAAUAAAUUGACACACUGCACAUGUAUUUCUGGCUUGCUAUUGAUAUGUUAUGUUAUUGUAUGUGCUAGUUUGGCAUUAUCUGAAGAGAUGUUAUGCCAAUCUUAUUUACUUAUUAUUCUCAUCCCUGUGGCUGCAGCUAUGCCGCCUCGUAGGGCUCGGAGUAGUCCGCAAGCUCCUAGUUGGGACUCGAUGAGUCCGGUGGCAAUGUUAGCCGCGAUGCAGGCCAUGCAGCAGGAGUUGGCCCUUCUGAGGCAAGCCAUUCCUGUCGCCCCUGCGGGUGCUGCUCAGGGUGCUGGAGGUGAAGAAGUGCCUAGGGGCGCUGUCCCUGCGGGUGCUGUUCCAGGUGGCGGGGCCGAGGUGCCUCUUUUAGUCAGUGGUCUUUCUCUGAUGCAGUGGAUGGGCAUGAAGUUGGAUUCUUUUGAUGGUAGUGGUACUCCGGUCGAGGCAGCAGAUUGGUUGACUUAUGUGGAGGAUAAGAUGAAUGUCUUCGAGAUUGCUUAUGGAGAUCGGGUUCGCUUUGGCACUCAGCUGCUGAAGGGAGAGGCUCAGAUUUGGUGGAGAGGCGUGCAGACAGCGCACUCCUCCUCACCAGGAGUCCUAUCUUGGGAUGUUUUCAUCAGGCAGUUUGAAAGGAGAUUCUACCCGGUCACCUUUCUAGAGAAAAUGAAGGUUGACUUGCAGUCCUACAAGCAGGAGAAGAAGUCUGUCAUAGAGUAUGAGGUGGGCUUCAACAAGAUGGUCCGCUUUGUCCCUCAUGUGGCUUAUAAUGAGAUGGAGAAGGCGAGCCAGUUCUGUCAGGGUCUAAAGCCUUCUAUCAGGCAUGCACUGGGGGCCUUUCCGUUGGUGGACUUCCGUACCACGGUGGAGCAGGCACUGGGUGUGGAGAUGCAACACUAGUAUACCAUGGAGUCACAGAAGUCUUCGGGUGUUGAACAGCCUCAUAGCCAGGACGCGAGGAGGGGCAACACUGGAGGUCCAGCCCACAAGAGGGGCAAGUCUCAGCAUCAGCGCCACCAUCCUUACCGUGGCAAAUCUUCUGACUCGGGUACUUCGGGAGGAAGUACUCAGAGGUUUCGGGACGUUCCUAAGCCUGGGCUGGGGCUGGUGUGUUUCCGCUGUGGUGAUGCGCAUCGCCGUGCAGAGUGCCAGUGGAGUGGUAGGUGUUCUAUCUGCAGUCAGGACCAUAAGGAUGUGGUGUGUAGGAGGAAUCCUAAUGGGAAGCUCAGAUGGGAGCCGGUGACUUCCUCCUCUUCUCAGGGCACCAUCAACAUGAUGUCAAGUGUUGAGCAGCAAUUUUCAGUUCCUCUUCCUCCACAGCAGCUCUAUGUGCCUGAGACUUCUCAGUUCGUGCCGAUGCACGGUUUUCCUCAGUAUCAGGCCGCGCCUACUCCUGCACCGUCUACUCCUAUGCUGUCUCAGUUUGGAGCUCCGCGCCUGCCUCAUCCAGUGGCUCAGUGGGGUUCUUCUGUUAAUUUCACUCCAGGGGCUUCCUCUUCUGCGGGUAUUUCUGGAGCUUAUGUGCUACCCGCUACGAAUGGCAGGGAGCAAGGAGACGUGGUGAUAGGUACAAUUUCAGUUGAUUCGUUUGCAGCCCAUGCUCUUUUUGACUCUGGCGCUAGCUAUUCGUUUGUUUCGGAGGAUUUUGUGUCGCGGGCUGGUCUUUCGGUGCAGAGGUUGGGUCACCCAAUUUUGGUUAGAUCUGCUAAUGGCUCCAUUAGUAGCUGUUCAGUUUGUCAGGGGUGUUCCGUCAUUCUUGCUGAUGAGGUUUUUUCGGCCAAUCUGGUGGUGAUUUCCUUGGGGGCAUUCGAUGUUAUCUUGGGUAUGGAUUGGUUAUCCCAGUAUCGCGCGGUUAUAUCCUGCUUCUGGAAGACAAUGUUAUUGCAGGCGCCGUCGGGUAAGGAGGUGGUAUUCUUGGGAAGUUCCCCGAAGUUCAAGUUAUCCUUGUUGGCGCAAUUGCUUCCUGAUCGCCGGUCAAGGAAGUCGGGGAUCUUUUUCUCCAUGGUGGUGGAGGGUGAGGCUGCCUUGCGGGUGCAGGACAUCCGGGUGGUGUGUGACUUUGCUGACGUGUUUCCGGCAGAGCUUCCAGGCAUUCCUCUGGAGCGUGAUGCAGCUUUUGAGAUUAAGCUGAUCCCGGGUACGCAGCCUAUUCAUAAGGCCCCGUAUCGAAUGGCCCCAAAGGAGCAGAUUGAAUUGAAGCGGCAAUUGGAUGAUCUGCUGGCUAAGGGUUUCAUUAGGCCUAGCAGGUCUCCAUGGGCUUCCCCAGUAUUGUUUGUUGAGAAGAAGGAUAAAAGCAAGCGGCUGUGUGUGGAUUAUCGCGCUUUGAAUCAAGUGACAAUCAAGAAUAAAUAUCCUCUUCCCCGAAUUGAGGUCCUCUUUGAGCAGUUGAGGGGUGCCCAGGUGUUCUCCAAAAUUGAUUUGAACUCCGGUUAUCAUCAAUUGAGGAUUCGUGAGGAGGAUAUUGAGAAGACCGCCUUUUGCACCAGGUAUGGGCAUUAUGAGUUCAUAGUCAUGUCUUUUGGCUUAACUAAUGCCCCUGCUGCCUUUAUGGAAGCAAUGAAUAGGAUGCUGCAUGAAUUCCUGGACGAUUUUGUGGUCAUGUUCCUGGAUGAUAUUUUGAUUUAUUCAAAGACCGAGGCCGAGCAUGAGCAGCAUAUCUGUCUCGUUCUAGGUGCCCUAAGGAAGAAUCAAUUCUAUGGCAAGUUGAAGAAGUGUGCCUUUUGGCUAUCCGAAGUGGCUUUGCUGGGGCACGUGAUUAAUCAGCAGGGUAUUGCGGUUAAUCCCAAGAAUGUUGUGGCUGUGGUGGAGUGGAAGAGACCUUCUAGUGUCUCUGAAAUCCGGUGUUUCUUGGGGCUUGCUGGGUAUUAUCGGCGCUUCGUACCAAAUUUUUCCAGCAUUGCUAAGCCUUUGACUAGGCUCUUGGAGAAGGGUGUUCCCUUCGUCUGGUCCGGCGAUUGUGAGGUCAGUUAUCAGUCAUUGAAGAGCAAGUUGGUGGACGCCCCUAUCCUAGCUUUGCCUGAGAGCGGUAAGCGUUUCACAGUUUAUACGGAUGCUUCACGUAUUGGUCUUGGCUGUGUGCUGAUGCAGGAAGGCAGAGUGAUUGCUUAUGGCUCAAGGCAGUUGAGGAAGCAUGAGGGGAAUUAUCCAACUCAUGAUCUGGAAUUGUCCGCGGUUGUUUUUGCUCUUAAGUCGUGGAGGCAUUACCUUUAUGGCGAGACUUGUGACAUUUUCACCGAUCACAAAAGUCUCAAGUAUAUUUUUACUCAGAAGGAGCUGAAUUUGAGGCAGCGUCGGUGGCUGGAAUUGAUUAAAGAUUAUGAUUUGUCCAUUCAUUAUCACCCAGGGAAGGCUAAUGUGGUGGCUGAUGCCCUUAGUAGGUCCGGGGUUCCGAAGGUGGCCUUGCCGUUGAUCGCUGAUCUGGACCGUGUGGGGAUCGCUUUGUGUUAUGUCGGCACCGCUAGCAAGGAGACUCAGAUGCUUAUUCAAUCCUCUCUCAUGGAGAGAGUGCGUGCGGCUCAGCAGCAGGAUCGUCUAUUGCAGGAAGCUCGAAAGAGGGUGGGUGAUGGUAAACCACGGGAGUUCACCAUUGAUGAGAAUGAUUUGGUUCGUUUCAGGGGCCGCCUCUGUGUGCCUCAGAAAUCAGAGGUGAAGAUGGAUAUCUUGAGAGAAGAUCAUAAAACGCCUUACACCGUCCAUCCUGGCGAAACCAAAAUGUACCGAGAUUUGAAGCAAAACUUCUGGUGGAAGCAGAUGAAGGUUGACGUUUCUAAGUAUGUGGCCGCCUGUGAAGUAUGUCAGCGCGUGAAGGCCGAGCAUAAGCGGCCUGCAGGUUUGCUGAAGCCAUUAGAAAUUCCAGAGUGGAAAUGGGAGCAUAUCACCAUGGAUUUUGUGGUGGGUCUACCUCGUUCCCCUCGUGGCAGGGAUGUUAUUUGGGUGGUAGUGGAUCGCUUGACUAAGUCUGUGCAUUUUAUUCCCAUGAAGACCACAAAUUCAGCUUCAGAUUUGGUUCCCUUGUAUAUGAAGGAAGUAGUCAGGCUUCACGGGGUACCUAAGUCUAUUGUUUUUGAUCGAGACUCCAAAUUUGUAUCCAAAUUCUGGGAGAGUCUCCAUAGUGCUUUGGGCACCAAGCUUUCGCUUAGUGUCGCUUUUCACCCUCAGACGGAUGGUCAGUUAGAGCGAACAAUCCAAAUCUUGGAAGAUAUGUUGCGUGCUUGUGUUCUGUCAUGGAAGGGUAGCUGGGAGGAUCAUCUUGCACUGGCAGAGUUUGCUUAUAACAACAACUACCAGGCUAGCAUCAAGAUGGCACCAUUUGAGGCUUUGUAUGGCAGGCGGUGUAUCUCUCCUCUGUGAUGGGAGACUUUGGGAGAGAGAUCCCUGGUUGGUCCUGAUUGGGUUCAGCAAACUUCUGAAAAGGUUCGGGAAAUUCGUCAGAAUAUUUUGGCAGCUUAGAGUCGUCGGAAGAGUUAUGCUGAUGUGAGGAGGCGAGAUCUGGAAUUUGUUGUGGGUGACCAAGUCCGUCUCAGGGUAUCACCCACUAAGGGAGUUGUUCGGUUCGGUGUCUCUGGGAAGCUCAGCCCGAGAUACAUUGGACCGUUCACUAUCUUGGCCCGAGUGGGCAGCCUGGCUUAUCGCUUGCUACUGCCGGAUUCCAUGGCAGGGGUACACCCGGUUUUUCAUGUCUCUAUGUUGAGGAAGUUCUUGCGGGAUCCGGACCAUCAGAUUGAGAUGGAACCAAUUGCGGUGCAGCAGGAUCUGACUCUGAGUGUCGUCCAGUGCGUAUAUUGGAAUUCUCGGAGCGUGUAUUGAGGAAGAGAUCAAUUAAGUAUGUCAAGGUCUUAUGGACUAAUCAGUCUGAGCGCGAGGCUACGUGGGAACUUGAGGAGCUGAUGCGGCAGAAGUACCCGGAACUUUUCAUUGUGGGUAAGUGUUGUUGGUUCAUUAAUCUUUUCUUUUGUCAUUCCGAUAGAAGCGUCAGAAUUCGAGGUCGAAUUCUUUUUAAGAGGGAUAGAGUGUGAUCCUGUACGCUCUGUCCAGUGACCCUGUACGCUGAGUCUUGGCGAUCUUGCAGGAUAGCCCCUGGGUUUUCUGGAAAUUGAGGCCCAGUCCAGUCAACUCGAAAAUCAGAGAAAUAAAAUAGAAAAGGGAUUUUAGUGAAUAAAUAAUUGCUGGAAACUUGUUUAAUUUGUAGAAAAUUCAUUUUUAGUCCAAAUUAACCCAUUCCAGUUUCUAAAAUUUUAUAAUUUUAUUCUCUAUCACUUAGAGCCUCUGUUUUAUCAUGAAAACAAUAAGAAAUUUAAUCUCUCACUUAAUCCAUUUUAAACAUAUAAAACCUUUGAAAAUUCAUAACUUAAAAUCUAUAACUCCAAAAAAUACGAUUCCUGUUCCUAGGUUUUUAUUUUAAUGUGUAGAUUAUUACUGUGUAUUUUAUUUAUAUGUUUGGUGUAUUGUUAAUUUCUCUAUAUGCACUGUGCUUGUUUGUAUUGUGGCGAGUAGAAGAGCUCGUGACUGAAGAUCCUGGUGAGCAGCAGGUUGAAGUAGCUAAGCAGGAGCUCAUUGAAGGCAAGUUGUGCCCUUGACCACUUUUUACCCAAUAAUGUUCUUUAAUAUCAUUUAUUCAUGCAUAGGUUAAUUUUGAUGGGACCCAAUAGGUUAUCCUAGAUUGUUUAUCUCAUUACCUUGUUUACCCCUGAAUCACUUGGGUAGUUUGCUAUUGCUUUACAUGGAUUUGGGAUAAUUAUUUAUCAUAUCUAUGUUCCAGUUAUUUUGUUAUUCUAUUUAUGUUCAUGUCAAGAUCAUUAAUGUUAAUUGGAACAUAGAGCUUAACUUGAGAAACACGUGCCAUCACAAGGGUUUAAUGGGACGCCCUUGGCUGACUAAUUAGGAAAGCUAGUGGAAGACUACCUUACCCGAAAGGGGCAAGGGCAGUAGGGGAGUGGUCAGUGUAGGGAGGUCCUUGGUUGAUUUUGCUGCGAUGGCGGUCAGGCAAGAACCCUGCAUUGGAGCUUCCUAUAAACUGUAGCGGGUUUUCGGAAGCUAGUGGAACUUUGUACAGGCCUCGUAGUGUUGCCCUGCCACGCUUCCUAGGUAGAGGUGUAUAUGGGAGUCGCGACCCCUUGGCAGAUGGGUAACAUGACUUGUGGGUAAAGGGUACAACCUCUGCAGAGUGUAAAACUGGUAUACUAGCCGAGCUCACGGUCAUGAGCAGCUCAGGACUCUCUGAUGAUUAAAUUAUGGAACUUAAAUUCAAUUUGUCAUUUGCAUAUGCAUGGGUUUAUUAUUAAUUUUGUUCUAUUAUUUAUUAAGGUUUGGUAUUUACUUACAUCUAGUAAUUGCUAAUAAAAGUUUGACCAACAUUAAAAGCAAUGCUCAGCUUUAACCAUUCUCUUUGAUAAGCCUUACACUCCAUGAGCUCCCACCUUUGGUGAGUUCAUGCCACAUUAUUCCCCACAACUUGUUGAGCGAUGAACAUGUGUGAGCUCACCCUUGCUGUCUCACACCCCCCCACAGGAGAAGAACAUGUGGUUCAGGAGGAGCCACAAAGCGAGGAGUUUGAUCUGAUCUAGGUGGCCUUUCUCAGUUGACAUUGGCACCAACGACGAUCCUUAGUUCGUUUUAUAUUUAUUCUUUUAUUUUGUAAUAAGUCUUCCGCUAUGUAAUAAAUACUCUGAUUAUUGUGACAUUUAUCUCUAUACACUCUGUUAUUAUAUAUGUUGUCUUCUUGGCGCAUGUAUGAGAUGCACCUGGCUUUGUUCUUUAAAGCCGGGUGUGACAGAAGUGGUAUCAGAGGAAAUGUUGACUGUAGGACGAAACCUAGAUGGAAAUGGACAAACCCUUCACUACUUACCUUAUUCUGAUUCAUUCUAUACUUAUCUCAUCUUGGUCUUGUCUCACCUUCUGCUUUUCUACUCUGAUUACUCUUAUCUUUUCUACUCUAAGACAAGAUGGAUUUCACACCAUGGAAUCCUACCCCUACGACAUUUCUAAGAGAUAGAAAACCUAAGACAAAAAAAUCAAAACUAUUUUCUCUAUUAAAAAAAAUGUUGGUUGAUUGUUCUGAUGCUAGAUGCUUGAUUUGCUUCUUUGAUUGAUUGAAACAUUAUAGUUGGGCAUCUUAUUAUGUACCACCAUAAGAUAAUGUAUUAGCUUUAGUGGAUAACACACUAAUCUACUUAGCUAAUAAAUCCCCCGCAGUAACAUUCCUCGUAAUUACUCGCCUUGUCUACAAUUCUUCCUUUCUUACCCCUAUACUAUUAGAAGAGAGCAGUAUAGACUUGAUCCUUGGUAUGUCAUGGUUAAGAAAGUCAAAGACAGUUGCUAAGGGAACCAUAGAACUCACCAGUUCCAAAGGAGAAAGAUUUGAAGUUGGAAUUGCAGUAACUCCUGCCACCAGACUAGCGGCAUUCUUAGUAGAUGGGAAGUUUGUUGGUGUCAACAUCCGUGUGGUUAGAGAUUUUUCGGAUGUCUUCCCAGAAGAGUUACUAGGGAUGCCACCAUAUAGGGAAAUUGAGUUUAUCAUUGAUCCCUUACCUGGGCUGCCCCUACUCCCAAACGGCCAUACAGGAUGUCCGUAGAAGAACUAAAAGGAACUUAAGAAGCAAUUAACGGAAUUACAAGAGGAUGGGUACAUUUGUCCGAGUUCUUCACCUUAUGGAGCACCAGUUCUAAUUGUACAGAAGAAAGAAGGAUCACAAGGGAUGUGCGUGGAUUAUAGGUCCCUUAACGACGUCACUGUGAGGAACAAGUAUCCGUUACCCCGUAUUGAGGAUUUAUUUGAUCAGAUGAGAGGUGCUACAGUAUUUUCGAAGAUUGAUCUCCGAUCCGGAUACCAUCAGAUGAGGAUUAGACCAUCGGAUAUUCCCAAGACAGCAUUCUCGACUUGAUAUGGAUUAUAUGAGUUCACUGUUAUGUCGUUUGGAUUGACCAAUGCACCAGCUUAUUUUAUGAAUUUGAUGAACAAGGUGUUUAUGGAGUAUUUGGAUAGAUUUGUCGUGGUAUUCAUCGACGAUAUUCUUAUCUAUUCCAAGAAUGAUAUUGAUCAUGAGGAGCAUCUGAGGUUGGUGCUACAGAAGCUACGAGAUAACCAGCUAUAUGCCAAGUUUAGCAAGUGCGAGUUUUGGAUUGGCGAGGUGCCAUUUCUUGGUCAUAUUAUUUCUAAUGGAGGAAUUUCAGUGGAUCCUGCUAAAGUUAAGGAGAUAAUGGAGUGGAGAGUACCCACUACAGUUACUGAGAUUUGGAGUUUCUUGGGACUAGCAGGAUAUUAUCGGAGAUUUAUUGAAGGAUUUUCUAAGAUUGCUAAGCCUAUGACUUCGCUUCUGGAGAAAGGAAGAGAAUUUAAGUGGAACGAGAAGUGCCAAGACAGCUUUGAUCAAUUGAAGAAGAGAUUGAUGUCACCCCCAGUAUUGGUUAUGCCAGACCUACAGAAAGGAUUUGAUAUCUAUUGUGAUGCAUGUGGCCAAGGCUUAGGAUGUGUGCUCAUGCAGGAAGGACAUGUGAUUGCCUAUGCUUCUCGUUAGUUACGCAAACAUGAAUUGAACUACCCCACUCAUGACUUGGAAUUGGCAGCCGUUGUGCAUGCGCUUAAGAUUUGGAGACAUUACAUUAUGGGAACCAAGUGCCAAGUGUACACGGAUCAUAAGAGAUGGAAGUAUAUAUUCGCUCAGAAGGAUCUCAACCUUAGGCAACGCCGUUGGUUGGAGCUUAUUAAGGAUUAUGAUUUGGAGAUUAACUAUCACCCGGGCAAGGAAAAUUUGGUUGCAGAUGCCUUGAGUCGAAAGGAGCAUGUUCAUUCAGCUGUUGUUGCUCAGCUACCCGAUGAGAUUGUUGAGGAUUUCAGGAGACAUAACCUGGGGAUAGUUGGUCACACCGAAGGAGUUACUAUUGUUGUGGAACCUAUUUUGGAGCAAGAAAUCCGCAAAUGACAAAUUAGGGGUGCUAAAACACAAGAGAUUAAGGAUCUGAUUACUGAAGGUCAAGGUCCGGAAUUCACGGAAGAUGAGCAAGGCACUGUGUGGUUCAAGGACAGGAUAUGUGUUCUUGAUAUUGAAAGCCUUCGUGAGACUAUUUUAAAAGAAGCCCAUGACUCGGAUUAUUCUAUUCAUCCUGGGAGUACCAAGAUGUAUCAGGAUUUGAAGCAGAAAUAGUGGUGGUAUGGAUUGAAGAGAGAUGUGGCUGCACAUGUGGCUAUGUGCGAUGUGUGUCAAAGAAUUAAGGUUGAACACCAGAGGCCAGCUGGACUACUGCACCCACUGAAGAUACCCGAGUGGAAGUGGGAAGAUAUUGGUAUGGAUUUCAUUACUGGAUUGCCUCGCACCCAGAAAGGAUAUGAUGCUAUAUGGGUGAUUGUGGAUAGAUUGACUAAAGUGGCUCACUUUAUUCCUAUCAAGACUACAUAUAAAGGUUCUCAGCUAGCAGAGUUAUAUAUGGCUCGGAUUGUGUAUUUACAUGGAGUACCAAAGAAGAUCGUGUCUGAUCGAGGUUCACAGUUUACCUCAAGAUUUUGGAGAAGCUUUCAUGAGAACAUGAGCACGAAGUUGAAUUUUAGUACGGCUUAUCACCCUUAGACUGAUGGACAGACUGAAAGGACUAAUCAAGUAUUGGAAGAUAUGUUGAGAGCUUGUGCCCUUCAGCAUGGAGGAAGUUGGGAUAAAAGUUUGCCUUAUGCUGAGUUCUCAUAUAAUAAUAGUUAUCAGGUCAGUCUGAAGAUGUCACCUUUUGAAGCUUUAUACGGGAGAAAGUGCAGAACUCCUUUGUAUUGGGGACCAGACUGGAGAAAGACAGUUGUUUGGGCCUGAACUGAUUCAAGAGGCAGAAGAACAAGUUCGUCUAAUUCGAGAGAAUUUGAAGGUGGCUCAAACCAGGCAAAAGAGCUACGCAGAUAAUAGAAGAAGACCACUGGAAUUUGAAGAAGGAGAUUAUGUGUAUCUCAAGGUGUCACCACUUCGUGGAAUGAGGAGAUUCAAAGUUAAGGGCAAAUUGUCCCCACGCUAUAUUGGACCUUUCUUGAUCUUUAGGCGAGUUGGGGAGAUGGCAUACCAACUCGAGUUACCUGCUAGUCUGUCGGAUGUGCAUAAUGUAUUUCAUGUGUCUCAACUUAAGAAGUGUCUCCGUGUCCCCGAGGAACAGUUACCAAUGGAGGAGCUCAGUGUUCAGGGUGAUUUGACUUACACGGAGUACCCGAUCAAGAUUUUGGAUACUUUGACUCGAGUUACAAGAAAUAAGGUGAUAAAAAUGUGCAAAGUACAGUGGAGUCACCAUGGCGAAGAUGAAGCAACGUGGGAAAGAGAAGAAGAGCUUCGCAUAGAUUUUCCCCAUCUUUUCUCUAGUUCUUCUUAAAUCUCGAGGACGAGAUUAUUUUUAAGGGGGGUAGGAUUUGUAAUACCCAUUUUGUAAAAGAAAUAAAAGGAGAAUUUCCUUUCCUUUAUAUGUGAUUUUUCCAUUUAUCAUCACAUGUGAACACUUCAUUUGAAAAUAAAUGAUUAAUAAGAAUAUAAAUACAAUUAAAUCAUGCAUCAUGCUGGUGUUUAUUGGUGUGUGCAUUUGUCUACAGUGGUAAUGAUAACAAGAAUACAUAAAAGAAGAGAAUUAGUCCUAACCCAAUUUGCACUUUAGAAUCUAGAAAAGGGGGAAAGAAAGGAAUAACAUACUAUGCAAAAUGAAUCUAUGAAUAAAUAACUUCUUCAAAUUGGGUAUGAUCAAGAGAAACAUUAAAUUUGAAUACAAAUUUUGUCACCAAGUUGAAUUUGAAAUUUAAAAUUUGGAAAAGAAAACAAAAAAUAAAAAUAUAAAAGAAAAAGGAAUAGGAGACUUACCUGGGCCUCGGAUCUCACUUUCGGCCCACUAAGGAGAACCCACGCCUUGGCCCAUUUCUCCACCCGCGCUGCUGUGUGUGUUGGACGGCGCCGACAUGCGGGCCAUCCAAGUCAGUCGCAUGUGCGCCUCCCUCCUUCCCUUUUCCACCGAUGUGUGGGACCGGGAUGUUGGAUCCACCGUAUCCACGAAAUCAGGCGCGGGCUGCGGAACUGCUUGCGCGAAGCUCGCUCUCGUUGCCGGGGGAACACCCGCUCGCUACUGGAGCCGCGACUCAGUCAGCCCCGUGCCUCAGCCAGCCGCCGCGCUCGGUCACCAACGCGUGGGCCCCACCAGCCAGUGCCCAACGCCAUGAGAUCUCGUCUUCAACCACCACGCCGUGCAUGGCGGAGCUCCGCCGGGAGCUUCGGGGGUUGUUGCAUGCGCUUGGACCGGUCUGGAAGGAUUUAAGUGCGGAGGAGCCGAGGGAUUGACCCUCCCUCUUCGCCACGCCUCGGCCAGCCUCGUCGGGAAAUCGUGUGAGAGAGACCGGGGAGGAGGAGAGAGAAUUUCGGACCGCCACCGUCCGACUCGUAGGUAGUGUCGCUCGGGCACCCGCGGGGCGUUCCAGGGCCGCGGCGGGGCACCUGAAAACCUCGGCGACCACCAAUUUCGAGCUGGGCAUCGCUGCGCUAGAGCAAUUGCUCGCCGUCGUCCUCACGCCGUCGCACCUCCGCCUAUCCCCGUGGCCAGAAGGCUCCCGGCGACAAUUCGCGGUAUGGACUCCCUCCCUGUACUCGCGUCCGCCUAUAUCGUGUGUAGUAGCGUCCUGGGCAUCGGAUUUGGGCAUUCGGGCUGUUGGUGACUCUCGCCGGUGAUGGCGCCACCGCGGGCGGAGUGCUCCGCCGUGCCUGUUCACCAGAGAGGAAACGAAGAGAGAGUGUGGACGUUCUGUGUCGUCGAUCGCGGGAUUAACGGUCCAAUUUAGGCUCUAUGUACCGAUUCGGGGUGGCGUAGCAAUGGCCGUCCGAUUUUGAUCGUGCGGGCGGGAGUAAAGUUAGGGUAAUUAAAUCUGGGUCGUCGGAUUUGGAUCCAAGGGAUCACACUGUGUACCGGUUCGCGCAGUUUGCGGUUUAAUCCUGGCGCUCAGUUUUUGAUCGGGCGGCUGGAAUUGGAUAAUACCCCUUCGGCCAGCACAAUUGCAAAAGAAACCCUAGAAAAUCUAGGAAUCAACCCUCUGUCCAGUGACCCUGUACGCUGAGUCUUGGCGAUCUUGCAGGAUAGCCCCUGGGUUUUCUGGAAAUUGAGGCCCAGUCCAGUCAACUCGAAAACAAGAGAAAUAAAAUAGAAAAGGGAUUUUAGUGAAUAAAUAAUUGCUGGAAACUUGUUUAAUUUAUAGAAAAUUCAUUUUUAGUCCAAAUUAACCCAUUCCAGUUUCUAAAAUUUUAUAAUUUUAUUCUCUAUCACUUAGAGCCUCUGUUUUAUCAUGAAAACAAUAAGAAAUUUAAUCUCUCACUUAAUCCAUUUUAAACAUAUAAAACCUUUGAAAAUUCAUAACUUAAAAUCUAUAACUCCAAAAAAUACGAUUCCUGUUCCUAGGUUUUUAUUUUAAUGUGUAGAUUAUUACUGUGUAUUUUAUUUAUAUGUUUGGUGUAAUGUUAAUUUCUCUAUAUGCACUGUGCUUGUUUGUAUUGUGGCGAGUAGAAGAGCCCGUGACUGAAGAUCCUGGUGAGCAGCAGGUUGAAGUAGCUGAGCAGGAGCUCAUUGAAGGCAAGUUGUGCCCUUGACCACUUUUUACCCAAUAAUGUUCUUUAAUAUCAUUUAUUCAUGCAUAGGUUAAUUUUGAUGGGACCCAAUAGGUUAUCCUAGAUUGUUUAUCUCAUUACCUUGUUUACCCCUGAAUCACUUGGAUAGUUUGCUAUUGCUUUACAUGGAUUUGGGAUAAUUAUUUAUCAUAUCUAUGUUCCAGUUAUUUUGUUAUUCUAUUUAUGUUCAUGUCAAGAUCAUUAAUGUUAAUUGGAACAUAGAGCUUAACUUGAGAAACACGUGCCACCACAAGGGUUUAAUGGGACGCCCUUGGCUGACUAAUUAGGAAAACUAGUGGAAGACUACCUUACCCGAAAGGGGCAAGGGCAGUAGGGGAGUGGUCAGUGUAGGGAGGUCCUUGGUUGAUUUUGCUGCGAUGGCGGUCAGGCAAGAACCCUGCAUUGGAGCUUCCUAUAAACUGUAGCGGGUUUUCGGAAGCUAGUGGAACUUUGUAAAGGCCUCGUAGUGUUGCCCUGCCACGCUUCCUAGGUAGAGGUGUAUGGGAGUCGCGACCCCUUGGCAGAUGGGUAACAUGACUUGUGGGUAAAGGGUACAACCUCUGCAGAGUGUAAAACUGGUAUACUAGCCGAGCUCACGGUCAUGAGCAGCUCAGGACUCUCUGAUGAUUAAAUUAUGGAACUUAAAUUCAAUUUGUCAUUUGCAUAUGCAUGGGUUUAUUAUUAAUUUUGUUCUAUUAUUUAUUAAGGUUUGGUAUUUACUUACAUCUAGUAAUUGCUAAUAAAAGUUUGACCAACAUUAAAAGCAAUGCUCAGCUUUAACCAUUCUCUUUGAUAAGCCUUACACUCCAUGAGCUCCCACCUUUGGUGAGUUCAUGCCACAUUAUUCCCCACAACUUGUUGAGCGAUGAACAUGUGUGAGCUCACCCUUGCUGUCUCACACCCCCCCACAGGAGAAGAACAUGUGGUUCAGGAGGAGCCACAAAGCGAGGAGUUUGAUCUGAUCUAGGUGGCGUUUCUCAGUUGACAUUGGCACCAACGACGAUCCUUAGUUCGUUUUAUAUUUAUUCUUUUAUUUUGUAAUAAGUCUUCCGCUAUGUAAUAAAUACUCUGAUUAUUGUGACAUUUAUCUCUAUACACUCUGUUAUUAUAUAUGUUGUCUUCUUGGCGCAUGUAUGAGAUGCACCUGGCUUUGUUCUUUAAAGCCGGGUGUGACAUUAGAGAUAUGGAGGCAGAAGUCAUUAUUGCAUUUGUAGCCAUGUGCAUUCCUGGGAGAGGUGUGGAAUCUAUUAUGUGAAUGUGGAUAAUUUUGGACUUUUGCAUGGUGAUUCUACUUGGCGUUGAGUUUUUAGUUACUUGUUGCUUGCUACAAUUUACUGUUCAAAAGAAAAGAAAGAAGUUCUGAACCACGUGGUUGUGUAAGCACAGUUGAUUUACAAUGUCCUAUUUAUUGUUGUUAUGUUUACUUGCUGAGAUGUGUUAUCUCACAUCUUGCAUUGUUUGAUGCAGGCACCUAAUUUCUGCUUUGGGAAUAGAGGGAUGUAGCAGCACGGCCACUACACCUUUAAUAAAGGAACCACCAUUUAAUAAUGUUGUUAAUAAGAGUUGGUCAAGUCUAGUGAAUUGCUUUGUUCUUGGUUGAGCGUUUAUUUUGGGGUGGGCUGAGUUUCUUAUCCCAUUUGUUUCACUUCAGUUGGGGCAUAAAUGAGCUUUACCACUUUGCAUCUAGUUUCUGCUAUGUGAAUUAUAUGUCUUUAUAUCCUGUAUGAACUUCAUGUUUUCCCCUCCUUGUUAUGUUAGUUUCAAAGGAGGUGCUGCCGGAUUUUGCUAUAUUUUUCUUUCUUUAUUACGCCUCUUGUG